GCUGGUUCUUUUCAUCCAUUUCUCACAUUCUAGCUUAAUUUCAGGUUUUCAGGUGAUUUUUUUGAAAACUAGUUCAAUUACUUAAGUCAUUAUGGAAGUUUUGACAACUUUCUCUUUUGCUCUCAGAUUAAGGCCCAAUGUACGUCUCACGUGGCUUGAGAAGAUGGGUAGCCUUAGGGGUUGAUUGUUAUCUUUGGUUAUCUAGCUGUAUGAGUGAUGUACAUUCUUCAUAAAGCUAGAUAACCGAAAGUAACAAGAAUCCCAUUACACUCCUGGAAAGGCAUCAAGACCCCAAACUGUGACUUCAAGCAAAACAAAUUCCUCUAGAAGAAAAUGGAAUUUUUUUGGAACACUGGAGCUUACUUUUUCCAAAGGCUGCCACGCUGUGAAGGAAAAGGCUGUCAUGUGAAGACUGAGAAACAGGGAAGAAGAUGGAGGAGGUGUGGUUGGUGUUGAUUCUGCCCUCCCUCUUCCCUCGUCCUCGACAGCAUUGCCGUUUUCCCUCCUCCUCUUCCCCUUACUCCUCCACGCCAUCCUCAGCCGACUGCCCCUUUUUUCCUGUACAGAGAAACGCAGCCCACGCCACCAUCUUAGAGCGAUGCUGGCAUGAAAUGGAAGUGAAAAGACGAGUCAUCGCAGGUAAACCCAGAUACCCGAGGACCCAGAAGGACAGCAGGACUCCUCCCUCACUGGCCUUUUGUACACUUCUUUCAUUAAAAUAAAAGAAGAUGAUGGCCAAGUCAGGAGUGGUUCUUUCUAUCGGAUCUUGGAUCACGGGACACCUUUUGGUGCUUAACUCGAGUGGACCUCUUGACUGACAGUCCUUUUUAACACCUGAGGCCUGAACAAGAAGCUGGACGAUCUGAAUAGUUUUUUAUGUAUAUUCUGUUUUUACCUAAUUUAAAAAAAAAAAUUUAAAUCUCUUUUUGUGCAUUUUCUUUAAUUAAAUAGUGAUAAAUACAGCCUGUGUGUAACUAAAUAGAGUUAACAUAGCAUUCACCGAGCUGUGUAGCAUGAAUGAGACUCUGCCCACUGUAUUUGACAAGUGGUUUGGUUGUAGUUGUAGUAGGGUGGCACAAUUAAUUGGAUUUUAAAUCAUUAAAUAAAUUUAAAUCAUCAAUUCCUUUCUCA
This 1131-nucleotide long non-coding RNA is filed under the name Gouania willdenowi (blunt-snouted clingfish). Its description in RNAcentral is "lncRNA (ENSGWIG00000019398.1)". The stretch from base 182 to 259 matches the Rfam family "mir-9/mir-79 microRNA precursor family". Lineage: Eukaryota; Metazoa; Chordata; Actinopteri; Blenniiformes; Gobiesocidae. The record is from RNAcentral.